This 444-nucleotide ribosomal RNA is filed under the name uncultured soil bacterium. Its description in RNAcentral is "bacterial SSU rRNA". It matches the Rfam family "Bacterial small subunit ribosomal RNA", at positions 26 to 451 of the family's 1533-position model. The record is from RNAcentral.
AGAAUCAACGCUGGCGGCGUGCCUAACACAUGCAAGUCGAGCGCGAAAGGGGGGCAACUCCCCAAGUAGAGCGGCGAACGGGUGAGUAACGCGUGGGUAAUCUACCUCCGAGUGGGGAAUAACAGCGGGAAACUGCUGCUAAUACCGCAUGACAUCGUCGAGCCUUCGGGCCUGACGAUCAAAGCCGGGGACCGCAAGGCCUGGCGCUUGGAGACGAGCCCGCGUCCGAUUAGCUAGUUGGCGGGUAAUGGCCCACCAAGGCUCCGAUCGGUGGCCGGCCUGAGAGGGCGACGGCCGACACUGGGACUGAGACACGGCCCAGACUCCUACGGGAGGCAGCAGUGGGUAAUUUUCGCGAAGUGGGGGAAACCCUGGACGAAGCAACGCCGCGUGGAGGAGUAGAGGCCGUUCGGGUACGUAACGUCCGUGUCGACCGGACGAACG